RNAcentral lists this long non-coding RNA (265 nucleotides) under Capsicum annuum. RNAcentral describes it as "long non-coding RNA (CANN_LNC015220)". Lineage: Eukaryota; Viridiplantae; Streptophyta; Magnoliopsida; Solanales; Solanaceae. The record is from RNAcentral.
UUCUACAUAAUAUCUAAAAUUGAACUUAUGCCUAACAAAUUUCUUUCGCCUUGAAAUUUUAUUUUUUUGUUUUAAAUAUUAAGGGUAAAAAUUUGCCUUGUAAAUCAGAUAGCACUAAAUUUAUGCCCGGACAAACAUUUUUUAAAAAGGUUUGCCUAAAGAAAUUAAGUCAUAGCUAGGGAUACUUAAGAUAACAAAUGACUAACGCCAAAAAUAAAAACUACGAUUUGAUGGACAAAAUUUAAAUAUCACCCGAAAAUAGGAG